UAAGCGACUAAGCGUACACGGUGGAUGCCCUGGCAGUCAGAGGCGAUGAAGGACGUGCUAAUCUGCGAAAAGCGUCGGUAAGGUGAUAUGAACCGUUAUAACCGGCGAUGUCCGAAUGGGGAAACCCAGUGCAAUUCGUUGCACUAUCGUUAACUGAAUACAUAGGUUAACGAGGCGAACCGGGGGAACUGAAACAUCUAAGUACCCCGAGGAAAAGAAAUCAACCGAGAUUCCCCCAGUAGCGGCGAGCGAACGGGGAGCAGCCCAGAGUCUGAAUCAGCUUGUGUGUUAGUGGAACGGUCUGGAAAGUCCGACGGUACAGGGUGAUAGUCCCGUACACCAAAAUGCACAGGUUGUGAACUCGAAGAGUAGGGCGGGACACGUGGUAUCCUGUCUGAAUAUGGGGGGACCAUCCUCCAAGGCUAAAUACUCCUGACUGACCGAUAGUGAACCAGUACCGUGAGGGAAAGGCGAAAAGAACCCCGGCGAGGGGAGUGAAAAAGAACCUGAAACCGUGUACGUACAAGCAGUGGGAGCACCUUCGGGUGUGACUGCGUACCUUUUGUAUAAUGGGUCAGCGACUUAUAUUCUGUAGCAAGGUUAACCGUAUAGGGGAGCCGCAGGGAAACCGAGUCUUAACUGGGCGUUAAGUUGCAGGGUAUAGACCCGAAACCCGGUGAUCUAGCCAUGGGCAGGUUGAAGGUUGGGUAACACUAACUGGAGGACCGAACCGACUAAUGUUGAAAAAUUAGCGGAUGACUUGUGGCUGGGGGUGAAAGGCCAAUCAAACCGGGAGAUAGCUGGUUCUCCCCGAAAGCUAUUUAGGUAGCGCCUCGUGAACUCAUCUUCGGGGGUAGAGCACUGUUUCGGCUAGGGGGUCAUCCCGACUUACCAACCCGAUGCAAACUACGAAUACCGAAGAAUGUUAUCACGGGAGACACACGGCGGGUGCUAACGUCCGUCGUGAAGAGGGAAACAACCCAGACCGCCAGCUAAGGUCCCAAAGUCAUGGUUAAGUGGGAAACGAUGUGGGAAGGCACAGACAGCCAGGAUGUUGGCUUAGAAGCAGCCAUCAUUUAAAGAAAGCGUAAUAGCUCACUGGUCGAGUCGGCCUGCGCGGAAGAUGUAACGGGGCUAAACCAUGCACCGAAGCUGCGGCAGCGACACUAUGUGUUGUUGGGUAGGGGAGCGUUCUGUAAGCCUGCGAAGGUGUGCUGUGAGGCAUGCUGGAGGUAUCAGAAGUGCGAAUGCUGACAUAAGUAACGAUAAAGCGGGUGAAAAGCCCGCUCGCCGGAAGACCAAGGGUUCCUGUCCAACGUUAAUCGGGGCAGGGUGAGUCGACCCCUAAGGCGAGGCCGAAAGGCGUAGUCGAUGGGAAACAGGUUAAUAUUCCUGUACUUGGUGUUACUGCGAAGGGGGGACGGAGAAGGCUAUGUUAGCCGGGCGACGGUUGUCCCGGUUUAAGCAUGUAGGCUGAUUGUCCAGGCAAAUCCGGAUAAUCAAGGCUGAGGUGUGAUGACGAGGCACUACGGUGCUGAAGUAACAAAUGCCCUGCUUCCAGGAAAAGCCUCUAAGCAUCAGGUAACAUUAAAUCGUACCCCAAACCGACACAGGUGGUCAGGUAGAGAAUACCAAGGCGCUUGAGAGAACUCGGGUGAAGGAACUAGGCAAAAUGGUGCCGUAACUUCGGGAGAAGGCACGCUGGUGUGUAGGUGAAGUCCCUGCGGAUGGAGCUGAGACCAGUCGAAGAUACCAGCUGGCUGCAACUGUUUAUUAAAAACACAGCACUGUGCAAACACGAAAGUGGACGUAUACGGUGUGACGCCUGCCCGGUGCCGGAAGGUUAAUUGAUGGGGUUAUCCGUAAGGAGAAGCUCUUGAUCGAAGCCCCGGUAAACGGCGGCCGUAACUAUAACGGUCCUAAGGUAGCGAAAUUCCUUGUCGGGUAAGUUCCGACCUGCACGAAUGGCGUAAUGAUGGCCAGGCUGUCUCCACCCGAGACUCAGUGAAAUUGAACUCGCUGUGAAGAUGCAGUGUACCCGCGGCAAGACGGAAAGACCCCGUGAACCUUUACUAUAGCUUGACACUGAACAUUGAGCCUUGAUGUGUAGGAUAGGUGGGAGGCUUUGAAGCGUGGACGCCAGUCUGCGUGGAGCCAACCUUGAAAUACCACCCUUUAAUGUUUGAUGUUCUAACGUUGGCCCCUGACCGGGGUUGCGGACAGUGUCUGGUGGGUAGUUUGACUGGGGCGGUCUCCUCCCAAAGCGUAACGGAGGAGCACGAAGGUUAGCUAAUCCUGGUCGGACAUCAGGAGGUUAGUGCAAUGGCAUAAGCUAGCUUGACUGCGAGCGUGACGGCGCGAGCAGGUGCGAAAGCAGGUCAUAGUGAUCCGGUGGUUCUGAAUGGAAGGGCCAUCGCUCAACGGAUAAAAGGUACUCCGGGGAUAACAGGCUGAUACCGCCCAAGAGUUCAUAUCGACGGCGGUGUUUGGCACCUCGAUGUCGGCUCAUCACAUCCUGGGGCUGAAGUAGGUCCCAAGGGUAUGGCUGUUCGCCAUUUAAAGUGGUACGCGAGCUGGGUUUAGAACGUCGUGAGACAGUUCGGUCCCUAUCUGCCGUGGGCGCUGGAGAAUUGAGGGGGGCUGCUCCUAGUACGAGAGGACCGGAGUGGACGCAUCACUGGUGUUCGGGUUGUCAUGCCAAUGGCACUGCCCGGUAGCUAAAUGCGGAAGAGAUAAGUGCUGAAAGCAUCUAAGCACGAAACUUGCCCCGAGAUGAGUUCUCCCUGAGACUUUAAGUCUCCUGAAGGAACGUUGAAGACGACGACGUUGAUAGGCCGGGUGUGUAAGCGCAGCGAUGCGUUGAGCUAACCGGUACUAAUGAACCGUGAGGCUUAACCU
This 2898-nucleotide ribosomal RNA is filed under the name Klebsiella pneumoniae. RNAcentral's name for it is "bacterial LSU rRNA". It matches the Rfam family "Bacterial large subunit ribosomal RNA". The record is from RNAcentral. Lineage: Bacteria; Pseudomonadati; Pseudomonadota; Gammaproteobacteria; Enterobacterales; Enterobacteriaceae.